Molecule: unclassified non-coding RNA, 197 nt
Filed under: plant metagenome
Description: partial contains small subunit ribosomal RNA, internal transcribed spacer 1, and 5.8S ribosomal RNA
Source: RNAcentral
UCUCCGUUGGUGAACCAGCGGAGGGAUCAUUACCGAGUGCAAACUCAUAACCCUUUGUGAACCUAUAUCUGUUGCUUCGGCGGCUCGCUCUCGGGCGAGCCCGCCGGUAAUAUCAGUAUCUCUGUUUGAACCCGACGAUACUUCUGAGUGCUCUUAGCGAACAGUUAAAACUUUUAACAACGGAUCUCUUGGCUCUA